CAAUAGCGUAUAUUAAAGUUGUUGCAGUUAAAAAGCUCGUAGUUGGAUUUGUGGCGUACGGUGUGUUCCGGGCACUUGUUGUCUGAGUAACCUGCUGUUGCCAUCCUUGGGUGGAACCUGUGUGGCAUUAGGUUGUCGUGCAGGGGAUGCCCAUCAUUUACUGUGAAAAAAUUAGAGUGUUCAAAGCAGGCUUAUGCCGUUGAAUAUAUUAGCAUGGAAUAAUGAGAUAGGACUUUUUUGCUAUUUUGUUGGUUUGCGCAAGAAGGUAAUGAUUAAUAGGGGCAGUUGGGGGUACUCGUAUUCCAUUGUCAGAGGUGAAAUUCUUGGAUUUUUGGAAGACGAACUACUGCGAAAGCAUUUACCAAGGAUGUUUUCAUUAA
RNAcentral lists this ribosomal RNA (380 nucleotides) under uncultured eukaryote. RNAcentral describes it as "partial 18S ribosomal RNA". It matches the Rfam family "Eukaryotic small subunit ribosomal RNA", at positions 592 to 976 of the family's 1831-position model. The record is from RNAcentral.